AUCAUCUUCAUCUCUGAGUAACUGGUCUAACUCAGGCCACAAUAACUCUCUCCAAGCAGUAAAAUCAUCUUCAAUGCAUUGAUCAUCAUCACCAAGUCCAACAGGAAUGAGGCGUUUUGCGCCUUGUUCACUAAGUUGUUCAUCAAGCACCUUCGCUAUCUUAUUAAAAUGUUCAUAUUGACGGUUACCCAAGCCAAAAACACCAUAGGUGAGCUGUUGAAGCCAAACUCCCCUUUCACUUUCCUCAGUAAACCACUUAUAAAAUCUUGCAGCAUUAUCAGUUGGCUCUCCAUCUCCGUAAGUGGCAACCAUGAAAAAUGCCAGUGUCUCCUUCUUCAAUUUUUCUUCAUAUUGAUCAUCAUCCAUAGCAUAAUCAUCCAGGUCAACAACUUUAACAGCUGCUUUCUCAUAUCUUGCCUUGAUCUCCUCAGCUAAGGCCUUAGCAAAGCCCUCAGCUGUUCCGGUCUGAGUCCCAUAAAAGACAGUAACCUUAGAUUUACCCGCAAGAGCCUCAGCCUCAUCAUCCUCGUCCUUCACCGCAAGCGACUUAGGAAGCACCACAGGUUUCAGCUCUCUGCUCCGAUCCGACGAUCUCUUCCACGAUAAGACCAACAACCCUAAGAUAACAGCAAACGACGUCGUUAUCAUCAGAAGCACGGAGUCAGUCACAGAACUUCCGAGCGAGACGCCAAGCACCGACUCAACGAAGCUAACCAAUUCCGACCCUGAACUCAUCUCGAUCUAAAAUCCAAAUCCAAAAAAUCCAACAAUACAAAACUAAAUAAUUUAAAGUCUUGAAAUAAUCGGCUUCGGCUUUGGUUCUUCUCUCCCUUGGUGACUUUGGAGAACGAGCCCUAAAAUAUGGGGGUGGGUAAGCAGAGAGAGAGAG
RNAcentral lists this unclassified non-coding RNA (889 nucleotides) under Hevea brasiliensis (rubber tree). The record is from RNAcentral. Lineage: Eukaryota; Viridiplantae; Streptophyta; Magnoliopsida; Malpighiales; Euphorbiaceae.